CCUACGGGCGGCUGCAGUGGGGAAUAUUGCACAAUGGGCGCAAGCCUGAUGCAGCCAUGCUGCGUGUGUGAAGAAGGCCUUCGGGUUGUAAAGCACUUUCAGCGGGGAGGAAGGCGGUGAGGUUAAUAACCUCAUCGAUUGACGUUACCCGCAGAAGAAGCACCGGCUAACUCCGUGCCAGCAGCCGCGGUAAUACGGAGGGUGCAAGCGUUAAUCGGAAUUACUGGGCGUAAAGCGCACGCAGGCGGUCUGUCAAGUCGGAUGUGAAAUCCCCGGGCUCAACCUGGGAACUGCAUUCGAAACUGGCAGGCUAGAGUCUUGUAGAGGGGGGUAGAAUUCCAGGUGUAGCGGUGAAAUGCGUAGAGAUCUGGAGGAAUACCGGUGGCGAAGGCGGCCCCCUGGACAAAGACUGACGCUCAGGUGCGAAAGCGUGGGGAGCAAACAGGAUUAGAUACCCCAGUAGUC
This 465-nucleotide ribosomal RNA is filed under the name uncultured Klebsiella sp. Its description in RNAcentral is "bacterial SSU rRNA". It matches the Rfam family "Bacterial small subunit ribosomal RNA", at positions 338 to 795 of the family's 1533-position model. Lineage: Bacteria; Pseudomonadati; Pseudomonadota; Gammaproteobacteria; Enterobacterales; Enterobacteriaceae. The record is from RNAcentral.